RNAcentral lists this long non-coding RNA (1619 nucleotides) under Phocoena sinus (vaquita). RNAcentral's name for it is "lncRNA (ENSPSNG00000004783.1)". The record is from RNAcentral. Lineage: Eukaryota; Metazoa; Chordata; Mammalia; Artiodactyla; Phocoenidae.
GUCCCGCCCUGGAGUCAGGCUGAAGGGGCUGCUCGAAACUGUGUCGCCGUCGCCUUGUCCGCGCCGUGCAACACUGUACUGCAAGUCAAUUCAAUACAGUGAUUUAAGUCGCUUCGACUCCAAUGGAGAAAGUGUGAGAAAUUAGCUAAGAUUGGAGAGUGGGUCUCAUGGGGUUGUAUUCAAAUGCAGAAACAAAACCUCUGGACAAGUGUAGCUAUUAAAAAAUUGUGGAAUCCGAAGAUGAUCCUGUGGUUAAGAAAAUAGCUCUAAGAGAAAUACGCAUGUUGAAGAGUUGCUGAUGGAAUGAUCAAAAGUGUGUUAUGACAAACACUUCAAGCUCUUAACUUCUGUCAUAGACAUAACUGUAUUCACAGAGGUGUAAAACCUGAAAAUAUUCUAAUAACUAAGCAAGGAAUAAUCAAGAUCUGUGACUUUGGGUUUGCACGAAUUCUGAGAAACUCUUGAAGAAAAGUUCUCAUAUGUGCAUCCUGUGGCUUUGAAUUUCAUGAAGGAGUGUCUGAGGAUGAAUCCAGAUGACAGGUUAACUUGUGCCCAACUCCUGGAGAGCCCCUACUUUGAUUCUUUUCAAGAGGACCAAAUUAAAAGAAAAGCAUGUAAUGAAGGAAGAAACAGAAGAUGUCAGCAGGUACCUCCAUUCAAAAGUUAAAGUGCUGUAAAAAUGAUUCUUUAUUUUCCUUCUCUACCUUUCAAAGUGAGACUAGGCGGGCACCAAGAUCUUCUCUUUGCACUGGUUUAGUUGUAUUUGCUUGUCUAAUAAAUAUUGGUGAUUGAUGUCAUAAAACCAUAAAACUAUGAAAAUAUACAGAUUGUCACAAAAUCUUAUUCCAAAUACACUUAAGUUAUUGCACAAUUCUUUUCUUACACUGAUUCGAUAUCCCCCCUGCCAGGUCAUGUACCCAAAACACAACAGUUUCAAACAAGUAAGCCCCAAUUACAGCAGAACUGAAUUUGACCAGCAUUAUGGAAGAAUCCCGGUACCUUCUGUAGCCUCCAGAUGCCCAGUAAAGGAAACUUGACUCUUCUGUCUUUUCAUCCGUGGCAGGCACCUUAGUCUGCCUUUCCUAGGCUUUUCCUGGUAGCCAAGGACAAGCUCUGGACAGAUACAAAGAGCUGAAACUCAGAUAUCUGAGAACCAAAUCCUGUCCUAAAAUGUUCCAAUAUUGUAGAAUAAUACAGUGAAUAUAAAGACGAACACUGAUUCUGUAGCUUAUUAGGCAACUACCAUUUACUUGCAAAACUCUGAAGUUAAAACAUAAACUCCAUGAAAGUAGGUUUCUUUGAGGUUGGAUUUUUUUUCUCCUCACCUGUAUCCCCAGCACCUAAAACAAUAUCUGUUACAUCAAAGGUACUUAAUAAAUAUUAUCCAAAUAAAUAAGUAGGUGAACAUUGCUUAUUAAUAAGCCAAGAUGGUAAUUUUCCAUUUUUCAGAAACUGACAAUUGUCGCAUUUUGCGUUUGCUUAAUCCUCCACAUCUGAUCUACUUUUUUGUUCAUUUAUCUUCUCAUUAGCAUCUUUACCAUAAAGGAAGAAAGUGGUCUCUUUCAAUAGUUAAAAUAGAAGUUUGUUGGGAGAGAAAGAUGUAUCCAAAAUCUUUAUCC